Molecule: transfer RNA, 60 nt
Filed under: Tenebrionoidea sp. 24 KM-2017
Lineage: Eukaryota; Metazoa; Arthropoda; Insecta; Coleoptera
Description: tRNA-Gly
Source: RNAcentral
AUUUAUAUAGUAUAAUUAUUAUAUUUAACUUCCAAUUAAAAGAUCUAAGUAGUAUAAAUA